This 468-nucleotide ribosomal RNA is filed under the name Ovis aries (sheep). RNAcentral's name for it is "partial 12S ribosomal RNA". The record is from RNAcentral. Lineage: Eukaryota; Metazoa; Chordata; Mammalia; Artiodactyla; Bovidae.
UAUAGGUUUGGUCCCAGCCUUCCUGUUAACUUUCAAUAGACUUAUACAUGCAAGCAUCCACGCCCCGGUGAGUAACGCCCUUCGAAUCACACAGGACUAAAAGGAGCAGGUAUCAAGCACACACUCUUGUAGCUCACAACGCCUUGCUUAACCACACCCCCACGGGAGACAGCAGUAACAAAAAUUAAGCCAUAAACGAAAGUUUGACUAAGCCAUAUUGACUAGGGUUGGUAAAUCUCGUGCCAGCCACCGCGGUCAUACGAUUGACCCAAGCUAACAGGAGUACGGCGUAAAGCGUGUUAAAGCAUCAUACUAAAUAGAGUUAAAUUUUUUUUAAACUGUAAAAAGCCAUCAUUAUAACAAAAAUAAAUGACGAAAUGUAACCCUACAAUAGCUGAUACACCAUAGCUAAGACCCUAACUGGGAUUAGAUACCCCACUAUGCUUAGCCCUAAACACAAAUAAUUAU